CUGGCGGCUGCAGGUGCUCAUGGUGCCGAGGAGGGAGACAGGCCCCAACAGCCCCUGCUGGAGGCUCCACUGCUCUUCCUGGGAUCAACUGUUCCUAGAAGAGAAGCAGGACCUCUCUCACCCCACCCCCAACCUUGACUGUCACCAAAGAAGAAGCCAGAGAGGGGAGCCCCCCACUACUGUGGCCUAGGAGCUUGGAAGACAAUACUGAGACAGACACCUGUGCUGUGGGCUCCCCAAAUCUGCCAGCAAAGGACUCUCGAGGAUGGAUCAGGAAUAGAAGCUCCAGAGCCCAGGACAUAGGAACAGCUUUACUUUCCCUUUCAUUUGAUUCAGUGGAACCCAAAAGAAACUCCUUCCUCCCCCUGCUCCGAGGGGAAUCCAAAAGAUAAGGAUGGCAGGGAACCAAUGACAGAUCAGUCCAUGCACAUAAUCUUAAAAGGCACUUCUGCAGCCCCAUCCCAACCCCACGCACCAACUCCAGAGCUCUAGCAUGGAAUAUAAGCCUGAUCCCCCACACCCGUUCUCAGAACCGUGGCCUAACCUGGAGCCUGAGGCCAACCUCUCUUCCCCUGCAGUCAAGGACUCAGUGACCAAGGAGCUGCAAACAGCCCGGCCAAGCAGGGAGCAGACUUAGAGGACACCACACUCCCGUCCCCUCCCUGAUGCCAAAGAAGCGUGGUACUCAGACAUUUUAAGGGAGGGUAUUUUCUGGGUCAUCAGGGGUUAAAGGGUUGCCAGUCUUGACAGCUGAGGCCCAGAGUACCCCCCACCUCUGGACUUCUAGGCAGGCUUUGUGUGAGCAGCAUUACCUGACCCUCCCUCCAGCCUGCCCCAAAAGGAGGGGGGUAAAGGAGGAGCCCCGGGCAGGACCUCCUGUGGUUAGUGAGUCUCCCUGCACCACCCUACAUGGGGGAGCCCCGUGCCAAUACUAAAAUUAUUGUAAAUGGAUAAAAUCCAUGGGGUCAAAGAGAUCAGGAAAGUAGAUUAUAGCAAUCAAAUUUUGGAAUCUGGAAAACAAAGACAAAGAAAGCCCAGUGCUUGCCCAGAGAGAAGCCAAGAGGCAAAGCAUAUUUACACUCUGGAACUUUUUAACUCUGAAUUUUUAAGAACUCUGGAAAGUCUCUGGAAUAGGGGGCACCAGGUACCUCUGACAGUGAGGAACAAGUGAACUAGAAAUGGGAGGGUGAGCUAGAGAUCUAUAUAAAAAGCAGAGAGGCGGCCGGGCACGGUGGCUCAUGCCUGUAAUCCCAGCACUUUGGGAGACCAAGGCGGGUGGAUCAUGAGGUCAGGAGAUCGAGACCGUCUUGGCUAACACGGUGAAACCCCGUCUCUGCUAAAAAUACAAGAAAAUUAGCCAGGCGUGGUGGCGGGCGCCUGUAGUCUCAGCUAUUCGGGAGGCUGAGGCAGGAGAAUGGUGUGAACCCGGGAGACAGAGCUUGCAGUGAGCCGAGAUGGUGCUACUGCACUCCAGCCUGGGCAACAGAGCGAGACACCAUCUCGGGAAAAGAAAAAAAAAAGCAGAGGCCGCUAUAGCUCCUCUCUCCCUUCCUUGUCUGAACCCAACCACUCCACGAUUACUCCAGGAGAAACUAGAUGUUUAUGCUUGAGAAUUUCCCCAAAGGGACUCUGAAUCCUGAGACACCAAGCAGGGCCAAUAAACUGCAAUCAACUAGUAGCAGAGUAGCUGAGACUGAGACCUUCUCUGCCCCCUUCCCGCACUCAGCUUCCAGAAAGCUGGUAGCUUUUACAAUCCAGACAGGGAAUUAGAGGUAUUCCUUCUGAGGAAGACCCUCCCCAAGAAAAGUCCUACAGAUAACUGUCCCCCAACGAAACAGCCUAUUCUCCACCAGAUUACUCUAUACUGAGACCUACCAGUGGCAAGCUCCCAUGCUAUCCACACACAUAUACACAUAUUCCAAUCAGUUUCUCAGUGACUUACUCUUAAAUAUGAACAACUACCAAGGACCACCAGACAUCUGAGAAAAGCCUCUGGCAUGAAAGAUGGAGGCAAGACAAACAGCAAGAAAGGAACUGAGGAAACUGAGCUGAUGACAGAAAUAGAAGCACUGCUGGAGCCAGGACUAAUAGGCUCAAAGAGAUCAGAGAAACCAUUGCAUCUUGAAACAAGAACAAGAGACUGUUGAAAAAACAUGCAGAGCUAUGAGAGAUGAAAAAUAUAAAAGAUUAUUGUUGUUUUUAAGACAGGAUCUCACUCUGUUGCCCAGGCUAGAAUGCGAUGGUGUGAUCUCAGCUCACUGCAGCCUUGACUUCCCAGGCUCAAGUGAUUGUCCCACCUCAGCCUCCCUAGCAGCUGGGGCUACAGGCCCAGGCCACCACAUCCAGCUAAUUUUUAUAUAUUUUGUAGAGGCAGGGUCUUACCAUGUUGCCCAGGCUGGUCUUGAACUCCUGGGCUCAAGCAAUCCACCCACCUUGGCCUCCCAAAGUGCUGGGAUUACAGGCAUGAGAUGCUGUGCCCGGCCAAAUGCAGCAGAUUUUUUAAAACUCUGAAUAAUGGAGUUAGAGGUCAAAGUUAAAGAAAUUUCUCAGAAAACAGCAACAAAGAAAAAAAGACAAGACGGAAAAUAAAACAGAAUAUGUAGGAAAAAGAGCCAUUUCAGAAAGAGAGAAAAUGGAGGGAGGAAAUCAUGAAACACGAAAAUUUGCCAGAAUUGAACAACAUGAGCUCCCACAUUGGAAGUUUCUGCUAGUGUCCAGCCAGUGGAUGAAGUCACAGCUGCAUCAAUUCAACACAUGGUAUUUCAGCCUGCUGGAGAGAAAGAGAAGAACUGAAAAGCUUCUAGGGAAGAGUGUGGGAAUAGGAUAAUAAGACGUGAUCUAGAAUCAAUAUGGCAUAAGACUUCUCAACAGCAACACCAGAAGCCAAGAAACAGUGAAACUGUACCUUCAAAUGCUGAGUGCAAAUGAUUUCCAAGCUAGAAUUCCAUACCCAGCCAAACUAUCAGUCAAGAGUGAGGAUCAACUAAAGAUCUUUUUGACACAAACAGUCUAAAAAAAUUUAACCCUGAUAACUCCCUUCCCAGGAAACUACUUGAGGAUGUGCUUCACUAAAACAAAGGGAAAAAUAAAAACAGGAAGGAGGAAGACAUUGGAUCCAGAAAACAAGGAAAGCAACCCAGGAAAAAGAAGGAUUUCAGGAUGAUGGUGAAGAGAGAUUCCAGGAUCACAGCUGAGCAGGAGACCCAAACAGCACCCAGAACAGACAAGAGCAGGACAGAAGGCCCUAGGAGACACAUCUUCAUGAGGAUGAAAUUGAAGGAACACCCAGGGUUCUAAAAUACUGAGGAGAUUUAUGCUUCCAGCAGUGAAUCAGGAAACAAAUUAAUGAUCAAUACAUAGAAAGUUUAGGCAAAUUGAAAAAGAGAUAUUUAUUCCAAGGAAAUCUAAUAUAGUAUAAAAUGUAAUAUAGUAUAAUAUAUGAUUUGACUAUGAAUAACAUUUAAAUAGUCAUGAUAAUGUAAACAUUUAUUUAACAAAAAUAUGAAUAUAUUGAGAAGGUGGGAAGAAGAUAUUUUAAAAAGAAGUGGGGAGGGGCAAUGCUGUAUAACAGAUCCACAUCCUCAUCCUUCACAGCCAGAAGUCAAGCGAUUAAAAACUGAAACAGAAAAACCAAACAGUAACAAGGUAAAGCCUGUUAUUUAGAAGUAAGGAGACAAAUCCCAAAAGAAACAGCUGAAGUUGAAAAGGGGAGGCGGGAACAGAGCUGUGGUAUCCAGUCUAGGGAUGGCUUUUUCAUUAAAAAAAAAAAAAAGUCUUAUUCACAAUAGCAAAGACUUGGAACCAACCCAAAUGUCCAUCAAUGAUAGACUGGAUUAAGAAAAUGUGGCACAUGUGCACCUUGGAAUACUAUGCAACCAUAAAAAAGGAUGAGUUCAUGUCCUUUGCAGGGACAUGGAUGAAGCUGGAAACCAUCAUUCUAAGCAAACUAUCACAAGGACAGAAAACCAAACACCACAUGUUCUCACUCAUAGGUGGGAGUUGAACAAUGAGAACACAUGGGCACAGGGCAGGGAACAUCACACAUCGGAGCCUGUCAGGGGGUGGGGGACUGUGGGAGGGAGGGAUAGCAUUUGGAGAAAUACUUAAUGUAAAUGAUGAGUUGAUGGGUGCAGCAAACCAACAUGGCACAUGUAUACCUAUGUAACAAACAUGCAUGUUGUGCAUGUGUACCCUAUAACUUAAAGCAUAAUAAUAAAAAAAAAAGUCUUGGCCGGGUGCCAUGGCUCACGCCUAUAAUCCCAGCACUUUGGGAGGCCAAGACAGGCAGAUCACGAGGUCAGAAGAUCGAGACCAUCCUGGCUAAUACGGUGAAACCCUGUCUCUGCUAAAAAUACAAAAGAAAAUUAGCCGGGCAUGGUGGUGGGUGACUGUAGUCCCAGCUACUUGGGAGGCUGAGGCAGGAGAAUGGUGUGAACCUGGGAGGUGGAGCUUGCAGUGAACUGAGAUCGCACCACUGCACUCCAGCCUGGGCGACACAGCAAGACUCUGUCUCAAAAAAAAAAAAGGCUUAUGAUGUUAUACAUACAUAACUUUUUUAAAUUUAAAUAUUUAAAAUAUGGAAGGCAUCCAGGAAGAAGGAAUGGCAACUGAGAGGUAUGGGUCAUAUCUCAGUCAGGUAGGGGUGACUCGGGGGUUUGGAGCUGGGAGGGACAGGAGGACACCAAGCUGGGUUGAGACUGAAGGCUGAGUGCUGGAGGGGAAUGGGAUCCAUCGCCGGCUGUUAAGCAGGGGAGUCCUGAUCUCACCCUUGUUCUUGAUCCUGACCACAUUCUGGUGGAAAUCAUUCAGUGGAAAUUGAAUGUGGAUGAGAUUGACUCUCAAGGGGACCCAGUUAGGCUGUGCCCAGGUCUAGGGAGAGAGGAAGAAGAUCUGAACAUGGCAAUGGCCAUGGGGCAGCAGGUGUUUCCUAGGGUGCUCAUCAGCACGCAAUUCACCAGCUGAGGGGAAUGAGGAAGGAGGAGUUGAUGGGGUGUGAGGAGAAGCAGGCUGGGAGAAGGAGGAUUUCAGGUCUGACGAGGACAUCGUUCUCAAGGCAGAUACCACUCCCUUCCACCCUCCAAUGUAGAAACUGUGUGCAGAUGUGGGGGAGCCCAUGGGUAGAGUUAAGAUUCAAGCGUGGGAGUCUUCGGGUUAAAAUACCUGAAAAGGUAGAGUGGUGUUAAAAGAAAGGCAUGGACUUUGCAGACAGACAGAACUGAGUUUGAGCUCCAGCCGUGCCACUUACUAUCUGCAUGAUUUUACGCAAGUUACUGAAACUCUGAAUUCUGGGGGUUGUCAAAUUCCAAAAUGGGCCUGACCACACCCACCUCACAGGGUUGCAAGGGCAACCUCGUAAAAUAACCUCUGUAGAAUGCCUCCAUGGUGUCAGUCAGCACGUGUGGACACUCCCCCAUCCUGUGUCCCACCUCCCACUUCCAUAGAGCGUGGAGGUCUUCCAGGAAGAGCCUUCAAGAUCUUCUGAGAUUUGUCCCAUUUCCCACAUCUCUCAGGCUGUGAGGCUCCAGGAGGUUUCUGGAAAGCACCUGCAACUCCCCUCCCAUCAGUUCAAGAACAGAGAUCACACAGGUUUGCAUCAACCAGAAAGUCAGCUUUAUUAGCCCAU
Molecule: long non-coding RNA, 5623 nt
Filed under: Homo sapiens (human)
Lineage: Eukaryota; Metazoa; Chordata; Mammalia; Primates; Hominidae
Description: HSALNT0237926
Source: RNAcentral